RNAcentral lists this ribosomal RNA (467 nucleotides) under uncultured bacterium. Its description in RNAcentral is "partial 16S ribosomal RNA". It matches the Rfam family "Bacterial small subunit ribosomal RNA", at positions 28 to 506 of the family's 1533-position model. The record is from RNAcentral.
GACGAACGCUGGCGGCGUGCUUAACACAUGCAAGUCGAACGGAAAGGCCCUGCUUUUGUGGGGUGCUCGAGUGGCGAACGGGUGAGUAACACGUGAGUAACCUGCCCUUGACUUUGGGAUAACUUCAGGAAACUGGGGCUAAUACCGGAUAGGAGCUCCUGCUGCAUGGUGGGGGUUGGAAAGUUUCGGCGGUUGGGGAUGGACUCGCGGCUUAUCAGCUUGUUGGUGGGGUAGUGGCUUACCAAGGCUUUGACGGGUAGCCGGCCUGAGAGGGUGACCGGCCACAUUGGGACUGGGAUACGGCCCGGAGGCCUACGGGAGGCAAGAGUGGGGAAUAUUGCACAAUGGGCGGAAGCCGGAUGCAGCAACGCCGCGUGCGGGAUGACGGCCUUCGGGUUGUAAACCGCUUUCGCCUGUGACGAAGCGUGAGUGACGGUAAUGGGUAAAGAGGCACGGGCUAACUACGU